This 72-nucleotide small RNA is filed under the name Flavobacterium fontis. RNAcentral's name for it is "Flavo-1 RNA". It matches the Rfam family "Flavo-1 RNA". The record is from Rfam by way of RNAcentral. Lineage: Bacteria; Pseudomonadati; Bacteroidota; Flavobacteriia; Flavobacteriales; Flavobacteriaceae.
ACCCAGCCCCGGUAGCAGUGGAAAUCCUGCACAACGCAGUGGCGCAGAUUGCAACGGAUAACGGGACCCCGC